AAUCAACGCUGGCGGCGUGCCUAACACAUGCAAGUCGAACGAGAAAGUGGAGCAAUCCAUGAGUAAAGUGGCGCACGGGUGAGUAACACGUGACUAACCUACCCUUGAGUGGGGGAUAACCUAGGGAAACCUGGGCUAAUACCGCAUAAUACCUUCGGGUCAAAGGAGCAAUUCGCUUUAGGAGGGGGUCGCGGCCGAUUAGUUAGUUGGCGGGGUAAUGGCCCACCAAGACUGUGAUCGGUAUCCGGCCUGAGAGGGCGCACGGACACACUGGAACUGAAACACGGUCCAGACUCCUACGGGAGGCAGCAGUGGGGAAUUUUGCGCAAUGGGGGAAACCCUGACGCAGCAACGCCGCGUGGAGGAUGAAGCCCCUUGGGGCGUAAACUCCUUUCGAUCGGGAAGAUAAUGACGGUACCGAGAGAAGAAGCCCCGGCUAACUUCGUGCCAGCAGCCGCGGUAAUACGAGGGGGGCGAGCGUUGUUCGGAAUUAUUGGGCGUAAAGGGUGCGUAGGCGGUUCAGUAAGUCUUGUGUGAAAUCUUCGGGCUCAACUCGAAGUCUGCAUGAGAAACUGCUG
This 578-nucleotide ribosomal RNA is filed under the name uncultured bacterium. Its description in RNAcentral is "bacterial SSU rRNA". It matches the Rfam family "Bacterial small subunit ribosomal RNA", at positions 28 to 638 of the family's 1533-position model. The record is from RNAcentral.